Non-coding RNA from Ictidomys tridecemlineatus (thirteen-lined ground squirrel), 5549 nucleotides. The record is from RefSeq and is a predicted model, not a curated record. NCBI's taxonomy places the organism in Eukaryota, Metazoa, Chordata, Mammalia, Rodentia, Sciuridae.
GAGAGGACAGGGAGAAAGAGAGAGGGGUGGACCCUGCUGGAUGGAGAUUCUGUUUUCUCCUUGCUAAAAUAGAAGUGAUUUGCAGGCUUUCCCUAUGGAAUCCAGUUUGACUCUCCCCAGAGCUAAACACAGGCACACUAACCCCAAAGGGAGGAGGCGGGGCUCAAGCCUCAAAGCCCCGCCCCUUCUUUGCAUAACGUCAUUCUUCCGCCUCGCCGCAGCCAAUCGCCUCUGAGGAUCUGGCUUGCUCUCGGAGCCAGGCCACGCUCCCUCAUUAACAUCCUUCUCCUGGUGGCUCGGAGAAGCCGGGCAAAGUUCCUUGCAAAGUGGCGAGCGAGGGAGCGCUGAGCAAGGCGUCUGGGCUGGGGAGGAGUCGGGUCGACUGAAGCGGAAAAGGGGACAGAAGGAAGGAGAGGGGGGUAUCCUUUCCAGGGAUUUGAGCUGGAGAUCUGCAUCCAGGCUAUUGCUGUCCCUUAGCAUCCUUGCUGCGCCGUGGGCGCGCUCGAGGCAUACAGGCUUCGUUCUCCCAGGGCUGAUGCCACGUCCUGCUCCGCAGUCCUGGGACGUCGGGGGCAAAAGUGGAGGAGACAGGAGAGCCCAGACAGAAAAAGCAGGACGCGUGUCCCAGGCAGUGCUCUGUAUGGACAUGAAAUGCAUUUGGGAAUCUACCUGCAACAAAUCUCUGUCUCUGCCACAUGAGGACACAGCAAGAAGAGAGCCAUCUGCAAGCCAGGAAGCGGGCCCUCACCAGAACCUGAUUAUGUUGGCGCCAUGAUCUCAGACUUCCCAGCUUCGGAACUGUGAGAAAUAAAUGUCUGUUGUUGACGCCACCUGGUCUGUGAUGUGUUGUAAGAGCAGCCUGAACUGACUAACGCUUGGGGGAAAUAAAAGUAAUUAGAGUUAGUAAUUCAGGAUACCAUCCAGUUCUUCUCAGCUGGAACUCUGAGGUACUGGGAUGACACCAGUUUCAGAAGUUGUUGCUUUGGUAUAAUCUUCCUGUGUUUCUACCCACAGCACUAUUUUGUGAAAUACUUUUUUAUUUAUUUACUUUUUUUUUUCAGACUGAUUCUAGCUCAAACUGCCUCUUAGGCAAGACAUUGGAUAAUUUUGAUUAUUGAUGAACUAUUCUUUCAUGUUUGAUUUUCUUCAACCUCAUUUUUUUUUUAAAAAAAAAAAAAAGGUGGAACUCUGCAAGAAUAUUGGGCCAUAUAGUUUGGGGGCCAUAUAAAAUGCUUUGUCAUUUUCAAACCAAGAGGAGAAAUUUGCUUCUAUAUUGAUGAACGGUUCUUUCAUGUUUUAUUAUCUCACACCUAAGGAAAUUUCUUACGAAUUUUCAGGAAAUUUUGUGAGAAAAUAUUGAUUGUGUGACAAACACCGUUGGGUGAAAUCAUUGCUAUCUUGUUUUUUUUUUUUUUUUUAAUCCUUGGUGUGGUAUGACUGGUCACCAAGAAUAAUACUACUACUUUAAUUUGGAUAAUAGUGUAAAAUUAACAGAGGGGUUUCACCUGACUUAUUGCUUGAACUCCUCUCAACAAACCAUACAACAGUCAUCUCUCUUUCACCAGAGAGGAAAUGAGAUUGAGCUGUGCCCAUAUCACAUGGCUGGUAAGCAGCCCAGUUUGGCUAUAACCCCAGAACAAUGACUGCCUAUGAAGAAAUUCAUCUGCCAUUUUGGUUGGGAAUAGAAGUGUCAAACAAUGCCAUGGGCACUCCUGUAUGGAAAGAUGUGAGAUGCUUUCUAUUGCAGGCAUUAUCGCCAUAAACAAACACCUGUUUUGUGUCUCCUGAGCAUCUGAGAAGAUGGUAUACUUCUACCUCAAAGUUUGCUCUGCUGAUCUCUGUUCCUCUAUCCAGAGCAUGUACUUGAAAGAGAGAACCACCUGAACACUCCUUCCACUUGGACUAGAGGUUUUUCUGAAGGUGAAUGCCUCAGUUUGUUUCCCAAAUGUGGUGAUUGGUACUAUACCAAGAUGCAAUGAAUUUAAUGUAAAGCAAAUGGUCUCAACCACUGAGAAUUUGGGCUUGCUUGUUAUUGAAGCUUAAAUUAGCCUGUCUUGACUGGUAUGAUUUCUUGAUUCAAAUUUAAUUCUUUUAUAAAAGAAUAUUACCUCUGUAGGGAUGGAUCUUAAACUGAUCAUAUAGAUACAUACCUUUGAAAGAGAAAAUAUCCUCCUAAACCCUCAUGGUUUUAUUUAAAUCAAUUUGACAAUAUUACUUAAAUAUGCACAAGCAUAAAAGUAGGAACGAAUUCUUCACACAUGUACUUAUUGAGCAACUGCAAAACCAGAUUCCAAACUAAAUGAAAAGAAAAAUACCACAUAACCAAAGGAUUAUAAAUAAACAGUAACAAAAUAUACUGGAAUCCACAUGGCUUCGUGGAAACUACAUUGCUAUCCAAGUGUCAAGCAGGUUCUUUGAGUAGAGCAUGCUUCUUUAAUCUGCCCUCAGCAAUGGCUCACUUUUUUUUUUCCAACUACCACAAAACAUUCCUUAAUUCAUAUUGUGUAAGAAAAGUUUAAAGGAAUCAUUUUAGUACCAAAGCUACUUCUGUUCCUUUCUUACCCAGCCUGACCUUUCUCACUCUUGAUGCCAAUAAACACAUUCUAAAACUUGAGCUCAGAAAUUUUGUGUCGGUUUUCAGAUUUAAGGAUACCUGUGCUUAGCUUUGUAAGUAUAUCAUUGAAAUAAAAACCCUAAGCUUUGAAAUUUUUAUUCAAACCUAGGAACAGUCCACUCUCAAAACGCAUUUCAGAUGCCCAUGAAGUGUGUACUUGCAAACUGGUUAAAAGGACAAAUGUUUUGCAUAUUUCACCAAAAUUAAAUUUUUUUUUCAAGAAGAAUAGCACAGGUAUCUUGAGCAUGAUCUCCCUAUUAUUUUGAUUGUGGGUGACUUUAAGGGGAGUUGCUUAACCUCUCUGAAUCUCCAGCAUUCAUCUGCAAAGCAUACCAUUCUUACGUUAAAGCACAAAGAGUGAAAUGAAGAGCCUAGUACAGGACCAUUUUUGUUAUGCAUUUUCCUCCCCGGCCUUAGCCCACUGAUUUCCCAACUUCCCUUGAUGAAAAGACAUUUCCAGAUGUAGUCUAUAAGUCCUCCCACAAGGCCUUCGAUCUGUUCCUUCUCACUCUGUGGACUUAAUCAGGAUCUGGCACAGGAUUCCAGAGCUCCAGGGCACAAUUUUACACACUGUCCUUUAUAAAGGUCCGGAUAGUAAAUAUUCCAGGUUUCUUGGUCUAUGCGUAUCGUGUUUCUGAUAUAACACCCAAGCACCUAUAUGACUUUCUGUAAGUAUGAGGCUUUCCCCUUCUUCCCUACCUUUAAAGACAGGGAUCGUGAAUAAUUUGUUUAUUGAGCCUUUCUAAUUCAUGUUGGUGAAAUGAGUAAAAAUGCCAUCAGAUAAAUAACCCUGGGGAGGAUUAAUGUCUGCAACAUGUACAGCAGUUUAGGUUGUCACUGUCCCCUUCCCUUUGUGCCCCUGUUCAUUCCCAGAAACACAUUUGAAACACUGUUUUAUUGAGUGAGGUGACUAGAGCUUGGCUGGCUAGUCGAGGUGCUGUGACAGGUUACCCCCUGUGACAGUGACUCCUGGAGCCCAUUGUAAAGCCAGCUCUGGGGUCUUUUCUCUGACUGUGCCACGGUAACAUGAACUGUCUCCUACCAGCUUGACAUCACCACCAUUGUGGGUUUGUAUUUUCACCCCUAAUUUAUAGUUCAGGAGCCUGAGACCCAAAGGAGUUAAAGAGUUUUCCAAAGUCAUCUACUAGAAUCCAGGUUCCCUGAUUCCUCCCAUCAUGCUACCCAGCGUUGGAUUCUGAGGCCUCCAAGAUCUUAUUCACCUUCCGUAUUUGAAAUGUGUUUGUUGGGGGAACAAUUGACCUCAGAAUGAGUAACUUGCCACCACUCUGAGUAAGUUUCACCCUUUCCCAUUACAGAGUGAAAAUGAGAAAAAUAUGUCCUAGAUACCACAGAGAAAAAAUGCUUCAUUGUCUUAAUUGCCUUUCUAUUUCAAUCAAGGAAGGCAUUUAAUUAUUUCUGAACUACAUUCUAAAUUCUCUCUCAAGAAUAUCACUGUCCCCAGGUGAGUUAACCAAGACUGUGCAAAACAUUUUCUCAAAUCUGAAUAAUGAUCCCCAAUAUUUACUGAGUACUUCUCGCACGCCAGCAACUAUUUUAAAUCCUUUCCAUUGAUGACUUCAUUUCCUCCUCUCAGCAAGUCUGUGAAGAGGAUGCAAUCAUUAUUCCCCUUUACAGAUGAGGAGAGCAAGGCACAGAGGUGAGAUCUUGGCCUGAGAUCACAGGCAGGAGGUGGUGAAGUCAAGCAUCCGAUCCCAGGAGCGCCUCUGAGGUCACACUUCUGAUUUCACUCACCAUGCAGUCUUUGGACACAGACCUGGUGUCCCCUUUGAGAUAUCAGGGUUACUUGAACACAGUUCUGAAUAUGUACCCAAAAGCCAUUUGUAGGAGCCAUCCAAAAUGACCAGUUGUGGCUGUUGAAGGGUCACCCAGGAUCUCCAGCUUCUGGAAAUACGGGUGGGUCAUCUCAAGGCUGCAGGGGCAGCAGGGGCAGUUUGUCUGUCUUCUUAAACAACCUCAAGAAAGAAGUCCUUGCUGCUGAGCACCACUGUCCUGGGCCUCUAAAGAUCUACAUGGCACUCAUUCUACUCCACUCGAUCUAAUCAUGGCUGUGAAACCACAGACAGAAGAGAUAACAUUCUCAUGAUCUGUAGUUUAUGGCCAUUGCUCUUGCCUCACUUGAGCUAUCUAGAGAACAAAGGACAGUCAACUCAGUAUUUCUAGAGUAGGACCCCUUGUCUGUGGAAGGUAUGACCCAAGAUGCCCCCUGAAUGCCUGAAUCCACAGAUAGUACUGAACUCCAUAUUUACUAUGUUAUAUUAAAAUCAAAUUUAUUAAUUGGGCACAAUAAACAAUAAUAAUUCAUAUUAAAUUAGAACAAUUAUAACAUUAUACAGUAAUGAAAUUGCCAGCAUCACUACUUUUGCACUUUGGGGUCACUAUGAAGUAAAAUAAGGGUUACUUGAACCCAGGUACUGUGAUACUACAACCAUCAAUUGGAUAAUCAAGGUGGCUACUGAGUGACUAAUGGAUGGAUAACAUAUAUGACAUAGAUACCCUGGACAAAGGGAUGAUUCACGUCCAAGGCAGGAAAUGACAGGAUGGUGUGAUAGUUCAUCAUGCUACCCAAAAGUAUAUGACUUCAUAAUUGUGAGUUGUUUAUUUCUGGAAUUUUCCAUAUAAUAUUUCAGAUUGGUUGACCACAGGUAACUGACACCAUGAAAAAUGAAAUUACAGAUAAGGAGUUAAUAAGAUAAAAUUGAAUGAUAUGUACACAUAGGCUGUGUAAGUAGUAAAAAAUGUUUUCUUGUAGGAUGUACUGGAGCCUUCAAAAAACACCUAUUACCUGUCGUACAGAAUAAAGGCUAGAUUUUGAAAUGUGAAGCCCACAUCAGUAGGGAGUUGACACUUCAAAUCAUUCACACAGAUAUUAAACUUUCUAAUGGGUUAAUUAUGGAGUAUCUUAUAUAUUCAGAUA